UGAAUAUUCAGAAGUUAUUGUAGAGGAUU
RNAcentral lists this non-coding RNA (29 nucleotides) under Rattus norvegicus (Norway rat). The record is from RNAcentral. Lineage: Eukaryota; Metazoa; Chordata; Mammalia; Rodentia; Muridae.